This 2039-nucleotide long non-coding RNA is filed under the name Homo sapiens (human). Its description in RNAcentral is "HSALNT0129627". Lineage: Eukaryota; Metazoa; Chordata; Mammalia; Primates; Hominidae. The record is from RNAcentral.
CAAAAUAGCAGAAUGUUCUGAACACUGGCCAAGAAGAGGCAAAAGUAGCAGCCAGCUGACUACAGAUGGGAAUGGGCAGCUAUUUUUAAAAGCACAGGGUUUACUGAAAUGUCCACCCUUCAUCCUUUGGCUGACCUGAACCAGAAAAAAUACUAUAAAAUCCCUAUUGAGGAGAUAUGGGUGCAGAUUUCUCCAUGAAAAUUUCAGAUGAAAACGGCCUCUGCUCUUCCAGAACCCUAGAUCAGUUGUCAUUUGAACUCUGCUUACGACAUUCACGUGGUGCCACCCUGCAUUGUGGUUAUUUAUCCAUGUUUCAUUUCCCUUGCUGGUAUUAGGAAUAUGGAGGACACAGACCAUCUCUCACGUAUGGAUGAGUUUUGGCAAGGAACCUAACUUCACCAUACUUCAGUUUUCAACACCUGUCAAACGGAGAUGAGAGCUUACUGUAUAGGGUUGUAAAAAUUAAAUAUGAUAAUGCAUUUAGAACAUUUAGAACAAAGAGGUUAGCAGUGAUUGUUACAGAAACUUUUUUUUCCUCAAAAGUGCCUGGGACGGAAUUAAAAUGUUUUAAUGAAUGAAUGAAUAAACGACAUUUUAAAGCCAUUUUGGAUCCCAGCCAAUAUCACUUUAAGAGAAAGAUUCACAAUUGAAAUAUGGAUUCAAAAGACUGUGCUAUAUGGGAAAUGGUCUGAAAGCUAAGGGAAAGAAAAUUCUGUUAAGUGGACAUACACAUCAGUAUUCAGGAGACACCCAGGGAAUGCGAAAGGAAGCAAAACUUCACAAAUCUUUCAAAAUGAGAAAGUGAACAUCGUGUUAAGCAGCCAGGCCUUCCAAAUUACAAUGUUGCUGCCCAGUACUCAUUCCAUAGGCUCUUCUGUUGGAUACCCCAGCUCCCGCUGAUGUGACUUUGUCAUCAAUAUUAUAUUUGUAUUAUAUAUGACGUGCCUUUUGUCACAUGCAUCCUUUAAUUUGCUUCCCACACCAAUGCCUCCAAAUCCCCUUUGCUAUUCCUUCCACUUCCCAUGGCCUCUCUCUGGGCCCUCAUUUCCCAUUAGUCUCCCUGACGCUGCCAGCAGACCAUUCCAAAUCCUCCCCUGCCACAGGACAAAAGCUGCACAGAUGUGGGGAGAGCUGGCACUGGGAAUGCUAACAGUACUGUCAUCCUGUCCCAGCAGGAUGGUGGUCAGUUCUCUCUGGGACCAGAGGCAGAAAAAGGGGGGUUAAAAAAAGAGAAAAGAAAGACUGAAGACAGAAAAAGAGGGAAGACAAAAUAACCCAUUGAAAUCAAAAAGGAAAUGCAUGAGUGAGAUUUCUAUCAGGAAAACCAGUAGGAGGCAAUGGGGUGUCCUCUUGAUGGUGGCGGCCCACACUCCUGACCAGAGCCAAUGAAGAAGAGGGCAGAGCAGAGGGGAGAGGGGCUCAGGAGUAAGGCUGCAGGAAGCAAAGGAAGUGUCAACUCAAGAGCCACAAACAACAUCAGCUGUGCACCUGGCAAAGAGCCUGUGAAUCCUUCAGAAUUGCUAUUACUAAAGGCAUCCUUACAGUCAAGUCUUUGAACAAUUUUUCAGAUUUAUGUCAUAUGAAACCAUGGGACAGACAUAAACCAAAUUGUAAAAAAUAAGUAAAUAAACAACAAAGGCUUUAAGAGAUUUGCAAUAUUCAAUAACCAGGAGGAAUGUCUUUCUUGAUCUUCGGCAUAGUGUAAAAUUUUUAUUUGUUAUUUUUUUUUUCAUUUACAUGAAUUCAAACUGAUCAGACUUACCUACUGCAAAUCUGAUGCUAAUUUAAAAAUACAAUGCCAUAGUCUGGUAUACAUCCCUAAAUCCCAGACUUACUGAGGCCUCUUGGAAAGGCUGAUUUCUUUGUCAGGUCAGGAUAUUCCAGAGUUAUCAUCAUUACUAAGUUAGGAGAGAGUAUUUCAAUCAAGAGAGAUCACCUUAAGAAGGUGAUUACAGUAUUGAAAAAGGGUAAUGUUUUCUGUGUACUUGUCUCUGACUUCAAGAACACUAUAAUUUAAAGGAGUUUCUAUCAUCUAAAAG